AUGGGGUUUGUUAAAUUGAAUGUGGACGCUUCUUUUGACCAUGAUCAACUAAGGGGCACUAUGGAUGAGGUUAUCAGGGAUGACAAAGGAAAGUUCAUUGUAGGUGGAAACUGGAAGAUUGAGUGUUGUGCAGAUGUUAUAACAGCAGAGGCAUUAGCACUUAGGUUUGGCUUAUUGUUGACACAAAAGGCGGGUUGCAAUAGUCUGAUUGUCAAUUCUGACAACAUGGAAGUCAUUGGCACAAUAAAGAACGGAGGACAUUCUGCAGGAGCGGCUGCUGUAAUUUUUAGGAUUGUUUUCUAUGGCUUGUGA
This 312-nucleotide ribosomal RNA is filed under the name Triticum aestivum (bread wheat). RNAcentral describes it as "partial small subunit ribosomal RNA". The record is from RNAcentral. Lineage: Eukaryota; Viridiplantae; Streptophyta; Magnoliopsida; Poales; Poaceae.